Small nucleolar RNA from Balaenoptera musculus (blue whale), 133 nucleotides. Lineage: Eukaryota; Metazoa; Chordata; Mammalia; Artiodactyla; Balaenopteridae. The record is from Ensembl.
AUACAUCUAUUUUUGACAGAGCUGGAGCAGUUAACAUCUGCUCCUAAGGUUUCUACUACAGAUGCAAGAAAAAGUGUUUCAUACUUUCUGUUUGUUUAACUGUGGCAGCCAGAUUGAAUGAGGAAAUAAAGUA